GUGCAGACACCUUCCUGGAGCAAACGAUCUCUGAUCUCCCACGCAAAGAUAGAGGGGCAUUCGCUUUUGUAAAGGGAAAUCUUGCUUACGACUUCUGCUGUGGCUACGCGCGGUUUACUGCCACCGAUUGCCCUGGGCCUGAUGGAUCCGGUUUCAUAGUACCUGCACUCCCAAGAAUCUUCGAGACGCAGCCAUUGCUAACUUGCAAAAUCCUAGAAAUGUCACAAGGUCGUGCGCCCGAAUGCGCUAGCUCGACGAUCUUUUGCCUCGUCGAGUCUGGAAGCGGCCUACCGCCGACGAAAACACCUCCGAGCUGAUUGACGC
RNAcentral lists this unclassified non-coding RNA (324 nucleotides) under Bombus terrestris (buff-tailed bumblebee). RNAcentral's name for it is "misc RNA ENSBTSG00005029011.1". Lineage: Eukaryota; Metazoa; Arthropoda; Insecta; Hymenoptera; Apidae. The record is from RNAcentral.